GACGAACGCUGGCGGCGUGCUUAACACAUGCAAGUCGAACGGUGAAGCUCCAGCUUGCUGGAGUGGAUCAGUGGCGAACGGGUGAGUAACACGUGAGCAACCUGCCCCAGACUCUGGAAUAAGCGCUGGAAACGGCGUCUAAUACUGGAUACGAGAUCAAGCCGCAUGGUUAUGGUCUGGAAAGUUUUUCGGUUUGGGAUGGGCUCGCGGCCUAUCAGCUUGUUGGUGAGGUAAUGGCUCACCAAGGCGACGACGGGUAGCCGGCCUGAGAGGGCGACCGGCCACACUGGGACUGAGACACGGCCCAGACUCCUACGGGAGGCAACAGUGGGGAAUAUUGCACAAUGGGCGAAAGCCUGAUGCAGCGACGCCGCGUGAGGGAUGACGGCCUUCGGGUUGUAAACCUCUUUCAGCAGGGAAGAAGCGAAAGUGAUGGUACCUGCAGAAGAAGCACCGGCUAACUACGU
This 467-nucleotide ribosomal RNA is filed under the name uncultured bacterium. RNAcentral describes it as "partial 16S ribosomal RNA". It matches the Rfam family "Bacterial small subunit ribosomal RNA", at positions 28 to 506 of the family's 1533-position model. The record is from RNAcentral.